UUUUCCAAAAAAUUCAAAGUUGUUAAUGCCAUUUGAUCCGUUUCUGAUCCUGAAUUUUAAAGUUGAAUCGAAUCCUGUUGGGCAAAAAUUUGGCCUUCUAAUUGCCUACUUAUUCAGCUAAGCCUGAUGGAAUAGGUGCUGUGGUGUGGAAUAUCGGGAAAUUCUACAAUUUAGUUUUGAUAUUAUGUUAUCGGAAACUCAUAGCAAUUUGAGAUAGGACAUUCUCAUGCGGAUACAUUCAUAUCAGGCUUUCUCAUAAUGGAAUAGUAUGAAGUGCAUUCUGGUAAUAGAUUUACGGAAAGGUUUUAUAUGGGGCGGAUGCGGGGAUUCUUCCAUCAUUUUCUAGAAGUUUGCUGUCGUUCUAUGCAAGGGUUGGACUGGAUAUUGCUAGCUGAAUGGCUGACUUCAACAGGCAGAUUCUUUCCGAUAGGGAUUAUGAGCAGGCCAUAACAACCCUUAAGAAAGGGAUGUAUCUUCUGAAGUAUGGACGACGGGGAAAGCCUAAAUUUUGUCCAUUCAGUCUUUCAAACGAUGAGAAAUCGCUGAUCUGGUACUCUGAUAAAGAAAAGAAACAACUCGAACUAAGCCAUGUUUCAAGGAUUGUACCUGGACAGCGUACUGCAAUAUUCCAGCGUUACCCUCAGCCUGAUAAAGAACAUCAGUCAUUUUCUCUUAUUUACAGCAACAGAUCCUUGGAUUUGAUAUGCAAGGACAGGGAUGAAGCUGAGAUCUGGUUUACUGCUCUUAAAGUCUUAAUUUGGGGAGGUGACAAUCGCAGGCCAAAAAGUGAUGCAAUAAGUGAUAAUGCGUCAUCAGAAAGUCCAUGUACCUAUACACAAAGAAAUUGUCUAUCAAAUGUGUCAUCUACAGGCUGUGACAUCAUCUCUAAGGAUCCCAAAGAUAUCCAAACUGCUUCAGUCCCAUAUGAGAGCUCUCAACAGUGUAGGUUGGGAAAAGCUUUUUCUGAGGUUUUAACAUACACUUCUAUAACAAAGGCCUUGACUCAUACUGACUCAGUUGCCAAGGAUUUCAGUUCUUUAUCACUGGGGGGGUUAGAUAACCCACAUGGAUGCUCCUCUGUUAUUGAUUCAUUUCGAAGUAGUUUAUCCAGUGCAGUAAGUUCAUCCAGCCGGGGAACUUCUUUUGAGGAUUUUGAUGCAUUAGGCGAUGUUUUUAUCUGGGGAGAAGGAACUGGUAACGGACCGCUUGGUGGCAGUGUGCACAGAACUCAAACUAAUUCUGUUACCAGAGUAGAUUCACUUUCACCAAAGGCUCUCGAAUCAAAUGUACUCCUUGAUGCUCACAAUAUCUCUUGUGGGAAUAAGCAUGCUGUUUUAGUCACAAGACAGGGGCGGAUCUUUAGUUGGGGUGAGGGAAGUGGUGGCAGGCUUGGGCAUGGAGUUGAAGCUGAUGUUUCUCAACCAAUGCUCAUUGGUGCUCUCAGUUGGUCAACUAUUGGAUUAGUUGCCUGUGGGGAAUUUCAUACUUGUGCUGUAACACUUUCAGGGGACCUUUAUACUUGGGGUGAUGGUUCUUACAAUCUUGGUCUAUUAGGGCACGGUACUGAAGCAAGUAAGUGGACUCCUAAAAGGGUAAGCGGUGAGAUGGAAGGUAUGCAUGUAUCAUAUAUCUCUUGUGGGGCUUGGCAUACAGCUGCUGUUACAUCAACAGGUAAAUUAUUUACAUUUGGAGAUGGUACUUUUGGAGCUCUAGGCCAUGGGGACCGUAGUAGCACAAAUAUGCCUAGAGAAGUUGAUGCUCUUAGGGGGCUACGAACAUUGAGGGCAUCUUGUGGAGUUUGGCACACCGCUGCCAUUGUUGAAGUGCCUACUGAGACUUCUGGUGCGUUUUCAUCUGGAAAGCUGUUCACAUGGGGGGAUGGGGAGAAAGGCCAGCUUGGACAUGGUGACAAAGAACCCAGAUUAGUUCCUUUUUUGGUAGCACUGUCAGACACUAUAAGCUUUUCUCAAGUGGCUUGUGGCCACAGUAUCACUGUUGCUCUAGCUGACACAGGGAAAGUGUAUUCCAUGGGGAGUGUUGGUCCUGGACAACUUGGGAGCUCUGGAAGUAGCAAGCUUCCAACUUGUGUCAAAGGAAAUAUCAAAAACAGCCGAAUUGAAGAGAUAGCAUGUGGUUCUCAUCAUAUUGUGGUCCGCAGUUCAGAUGCUAAGGUUUACACCUGGGGAAAGGGUGCAAAUGGUCAAUUAGGUCAUGGAGACAAUGCAGACAGGAAUGUUCCUACACUUGUUGAUGCUUUGCAAAACAAACGAGUAAAGAGAGUGGUAUGUGGCUCCAACUUUACUGCUGCAAUUUGUCUCCAUGACUGGGCACUAGGUGCUGAUCAUUUUAAUUGUUUUGGUUGUCGGAAUCCAUUUAGUUUCAUCAGAAAGCGUCAUAACUGUUACAACUGCGGGCUAGUCUUUUGUAAAGCUUGCAGCUGUAAGAAAUCUCUAAAAGCUGCUUUGGCUCCUAACAUGAACAAGCCUUAUCGGGUCUGUGAUGAUUGUUUUACCAAAUUAAAUAGGAAAAAGGAGUCUAGAUCAACUCCUGAAUUCGUUAAGAAUUCAAGGGAAAGCUUAAAUCAGAAUAGCAAUGAGUUACCAGAGAAAGAUACUCUGAAUUCAAAAUCUCUUCGUAAGCUUGCCAGGCUUGCCUCCUUUGAUUCAUUCAGACAGACCAGGAGCCAAAAUUCCAAACAUGAUAGGAGAGUAUUAAAUGAAAAUUCUCAAUGGGAAUCAACCUCUUUAUUUGGAAAUUCUACGAGAAUAUCAGCUUCUUCUUCUGGUUCAAGAAUGGUUUCUCGAGGUUCAUCUCCUCCCUCAAGGAAGUCGAGUCCAGCUUAUUAUAUUACAAGAACUUCAAUUCAUACUAAUCUUACAAAUCCAGAACUCCUUUUCAAUGGCUCAAAGCACUCAGUUGAGAGCCUCACCCAAGAGAUAGGUAUAUUAAGAGCACAGGUUGAGGAUCUUACUGUCAAAUCCCAAGUCCUAGAAGAAAAACUUGAAAGAACAUCAAGGCAGUUGAAGGAGGCAGUGGGUACAGCACAUGAGGAAGCUGAAAAGAACAAGGCUUCAAAGGAAGUAAUCAGAUCUCUAACAGUGCAGUUGAAGAAAAUGGCUGGAAGAGCACCUGACAAUCAACUGCAUCUUGGAACUGAAUUUCACUCACUGAACUCACAUUCUUGUUCAGAGUUGAAGAUAUCUCAGAGGCAUGACUAGCCCAAAUAGAACGAAAAGCCUUUUGACAUGCCCAACGUCUUGAGUAAGGAUCUAAUGGCAAAGUAAACAGCACUGAGAGAUACGAUGGCAAAUAGUGGAUAGUAUAUUGCAAACAGGGCGCAUAUAAAAAUGCUUCCCCUUACUCAGAAGUGAACUAUAUGAGACCUUCUCCACUCAGAGUGAAGUCGUAUCUGAUAACGAGUUGGCCAGUUCUUAUGGGUAACCUGUUUCACAAUCACCAAUUUCUGUUUGGAUGAAUGGUGUUCCUCAAGGCUUUUCUACAGUGAGAAUCAUAGGGAGAACAAUCAAGGAAGGUAUUUGAGCACUGCUUGUAAGGGAAGAAUAAAUUCUGUCUGCCAAUGUCAAUAUAAAAGGAGGGAUAGUAAGAUUCCAUUCUCCCACAAUGUUCCACCUGAAAAUGUAUUGUAGUUUCUUCAUUUGUUUUUGUGGGUUUGCGGUAUUAUACAAGUACAAGCCUUAAAGAAAGAAUUGUCUUCAUAAGA
Theobroma cacao (cacao) is the source of this 3721-nucleotide RNA transcript. It is a transcript of the gene named Regulator of chromosome condensation (RCC1) family protein, with no coding region annotated. NCBI's taxonomy places the organism in Eukaryota, Viridiplantae, Streptophyta, Magnoliopsida, Malvales, Malvaceae. The record is from RefSeq and is a predicted model, not a curated record.